GAUGAACGCUGGCGGCGUGCUUAACACAUGCAAGUCGAGCGAGUGAGUUCCUCGGAACGAUCUAGCGGCGGACGGGUGAGUAACACGUGGGCAACCUGCCUCAUAGAGGGGAAUAGCCUCCCGAAAGGGAGAUUAAUACCGCAUAACAUCGUUGAAGGGCAUCCUUCGAUGAUCAAAGGAGCAAUCCGCUAUGAGAUGGGCCCGCGGCGCAUUAGCUAGUUGGUGAGGUAACGGCUCACCAAGGCGACGAUGCGUAGCCGACCUGAGAGGGUGAUCGGCCACAUUGGGACUGAGACACGGCCCAGACUCCUACGGGAGGCAGCAGUGGGGAAUAUUGCACAAUGGGGGAAACCCUGAUGCAGCAACGCCGCGUGAGUGAUGACGGCCUUCGGGUUGUAAAGCUCUGUCUUUGGGGACGAUAAUGACGGUACCCAAGGAGGAAGUCACGGCUAACUACGUGCCAGCAGCCGCUGUAA
Molecule: ribosomal RNA, 476 nt
Filed under: uncultured bacterium
Lineage: Bacteria
Description: partial 16S ribosomal RNA
Rfam family: Bacterial small subunit ribosomal RNA
Source: RNAcentral